AUUGAACGCUGGCGGCAUGCCUUACACAUGCAAGUCGAACGGUAACAGGUUAAGCUGACGAGUGGCGAACGGGUGAGUAAUAUAUCGGAACGUGCCCAGUCGUGGGGGAUAACGUAGCGAAAGCUACGCUAAUACCGCAUACGAUCUACGGAUGAAAGCGGGGGAUCGCAAGACCUCGCGCGAUUGGAGCGGCCGAUAUCAGAUUAGGUUGUUGGUGAGGGAAAAGCUCACCAAGCCUGCGAUCUGUAGCUGGUCUGAGAGGACGACCAGCCACAAUGGAACUGAGGCACGGUCCAGACUCCUACGGGAGGCAGCAGUGGGGAAUUUUGGACAAUGGACGCAAGUCUGAUCCAGCAAUGCCGCGUGCAGGACGAAGGCCUUCGGGUUGUAAACUGCUUUUGUACGGAACGAAACGGUGAGCUCUAAUACAGUUUGCUAAUGACGGUACCGUAAGAAUAAGCACCGGCUAACUACGUGCCAGCCGCCGCGGUAA
This 493-nucleotide ribosomal RNA is filed under the name uncultured bacterium. Its description in RNAcentral is "partial 16S ribosomal RNA". It matches the Rfam family "Bacterial small subunit ribosomal RNA", at positions 30 to 523 of the family's 1533-position model. The record is from RNAcentral.